Molecule: ribosomal RNA, 871 nt
Filed under: uncultured Tuber
Lineage: Eukaryota; Fungi; Ascomycota; Pezizomycetes; Pezizales; Tuberaceae
Description: eukaryotic LSU rRNA
Rfam family: 5.8S ribosomal RNA (bases 495-648)
Source: RNAcentral
CGUAGUGACCUGCGGAAGGAUCAUUAUAAAUAUCUGGGAUUCAAGUCCCUGAUCUUCAAUCUCUCUGUGUACCAAUCCAUGUUGCUUUCACAGGCUAAGUGAUAUUUCCUACUCGUCAGUGGUACACAAUGUCAGAGCCAAUCUAAUGCUUUCCACUAUUGCUAUCUUGUACUACCUGACUCCAGUUGCUACACAUUGCCGAUAUAUCCUUCCUUUGAUUAUCUAAGCUAUUGAAUACUGCUGGCCAGCUGCCGGCUAGUAGUUCUACUUGCUAUGGUAUCGAUCGUUAGACUGUAUUGGUGUCUUGCUACAAAUUGGACAGGUUGACAGGUAGUUGGUCAUUACAUUCUAUUUGUUCUGUCAUUAAUACCGCAAACGUUUAGCUAUUAUAUUGUUAGAGCUAUGUAGGCUCCUGUGGAAGGUCUUCACCUUAACAAAUUGUAUGAGUAUGUAGUCUGAUAUGGCCAAGUGCCAGAUUUAUUGAGAUAUUUGAAAACUUUCAACAACGGAUCUCUUGGCUCUCGCAUCGAUGAAGAACGCAGCGAAAUGCGAUAAGUAAUGUGAAUUGCAGAAUUCAGUGAAUCAUCGAAUCUUUGAACGCACAUAGCGCCCUUUGGUAUUCCUUAGGGCAUACCUGUUCGAGCGUCACUGCUAACUUCCUCACAAAUAUUGUGGUCUUGGUUGCUGUAGAUUGUGGGUAUAUUUAGUACAUAUGCUCACGAGAUACUCUGCUAAAAUUCAUCAGGUGGAUACCAGGUAUAAAUAACAGACUUUAUAAAUGUCUACAGGAUAUGAAUUAGUUGUUUAGUAUAUCUGAUACUGCUAUCAUGGAUCCCCAUCUGAAUAAAUUAUGGGUGACCUCGAAUCAGUA